Molecule: long non-coding RNA, 4770 nt
Organism: Myxocyprinus asiaticus (Chinese sucker)
Lineage: Eukaryota; Metazoa; Chordata; Actinopteri; Cypriniformes; Catostomidae
Exons: 2
Source: RefSeq, a predicted model, not a curated record
AAAAAAAAAAAGAAACGUCCCUUUUUCAGGACACUGUAUUUUAAAGAUAAUUUUGUAAAAAUCCAAAUAACUUUACAGAUCUUUAUUGUAAAACAAUGUUUUCCAUGCUUGUUCAAUGUACCAUAAAGAAUUAAUGAACAUGCACCUGUGGAACGGUCGUUAAGACACUAACAGCUUACAGACGGUAGGCAAUUAAGGUCACAGUUAUAAAAAUUUAGGACACUAAAGAGACCUUUCUACUGACUCUGAAAAACACAAAACAAAAGUGCCCAGGGUCCCUGCUCAUCUGCGUGAACGUGCCUUAGGCAUGCUGUAUGGAGGCAUGAGGACUGCAGAUGUGGCCAGGGCAAUAAAUUGCAAUGUCCGUACUGUGAGACGCCUAAGACAGUGCUACAGGGAGACAGGAAGGACUGCUGAUCAUCCUCGCAGUGGCAGACCAUGUGUAUCAACACCUGCACAGAAUCGGUACAUCCGAAUAUCACACCUGCGGGACAGGUACAGGAUGGCAACAACAACUGCCCGAGAUACACCAAGAACGCACAAUCCCUCCAUCAGUGCUCAGACUGCCUGCAAUAGGCUGAGAGAGGCUGGACUGAGGGCUUGUAGGCCUGUUGUAAGGCAGGAGUGAUGGUCGGACUCGCGUUUAUCGUCGAAGGAAUGAGCGUUACACUGAGGCCUGUACUCUGGAGCAGGGUCGAUUUGGAGGUCGAGGCUCCGUCAAGGUCUAGGGCAGUGUGUCACAGCAUCAUCGGACUGAGCUUGUUGUCAUUGCAGGCAAUCUCAACGCUGUGCAUUACAGGGAAGACAUCCUCCUCCCUCAUGUGGUACCCUUCCUGCAGGCUCAUCCUGACAUGACCCUCCAGCAUGACAAUGCCACCAGCCAUACUGCUCAUUCUGUGCAUGCCUUCCUGCAAGACAGGAAUUUCAGUGUUCUGCCAUGGCCAGCGAAGAGCCCGGAUCUCAAUCCCAUUGAGCACAUCUGGCACCUGUUGGAUCGGAGGGUGAUGGCUAGGGCCAUUCCCCCCAGAAAUGUCCGGGAACUUGCAAGCGCCUUGUUGGAAGAGUGGGGUCACAUCUCACAUCAAGAACUGGCAAAUCUGGUGCAGUCCAUGAGGAGGAGAUGCACUGCAGUACUUAAUGCAGCUGGUGGCCACACCAGAUACUGACUGUUAUUUUUGAUUUUGAUCCCCCCCUUUGUUCAGGGACACAUUAUUCCAUUUCUGUUAGUUACAUGUCUGUGAAACUUGUUCAAUUUAUGUCUUAGUUGUUGAAUCUUUUUAUGUUCAUACAAAUAUUUACACAUGUUAAGUUUGCUGAAAAUAAAAGCAGUUGAAAAUGAAAGGACGUUUCUUUUUUUGCUGAGUUUAUAUACAUACACACUGGCAUCCAAAGGUUUGGAAUAAUGUACAGAUUUUGUCUUAUGGAAAGAAAUUGGUACAUUUAUUCACCAAACUGGCAUUCAAAUGAUCACAAUGUAUAGUCAGGACAUUAAUAACUUGAAAAAUUACGAUUUCAAAGAGUUCUCAUUGAAAAAUACUCUUUGCAGAUCCUUGGCAUUAUAGCUGUCAGUUUGUCCAGAUAUUCAGGUGACAUUUCACCCCACGCUUCCUGUAGCACUUGCCAUUGAUGUGGCUGUCUUGUGGGGCACUUCUCAUGCACCUUGCAGUCUAGCUGAUCCCACAAAAUCUCAAUGGGGUUAAGAUCCAUAACACACUUUUCCAAUUAUCUGUUGUCCAAUGUCUGUGUUUCUUUGCCCACUCUAACCAUUUCUUUUUGUUUUUCUGCUUCAAAAGUGGCUUUUUCUUCUAAAUUCUUCCCAUAAGGCCUGCACCCCUGAGUCUUCUCUUUACUGUUGUACAUGAAACUGGUGUUGAGCGGGUAGAAUUCAAUGAAGCUGUCAGCUUCAAUAGAUAAUGACAGAUGCCUCCUCUGUGGGUUGGGGCGCUGUGUACGAGAACCGUCCUGCUUAAGGAGUUUGGACGGGUCAGCGGCUGAUUUGGCACAUAAACUGUCUGGAGAUGCUAGCGGUGCUGUUGGCUUUUAGGUUUUUCCUUCCAGUAAUUCAGAGCAGUCACGUACUCAUCCGGUCGGACAACAGGACGGUGGUGGCUUACAUCAACUGUCAGGGAGGGGUGUGCUCUCAUGCCAUGCUCAGGCUGGCACAUUCUUCUGUGGGCAUGGGACAAUGUGCUGUCUCUACAAGCAGUACAUGUUCCGGGCCGGUUGAAUCUGGGGGCAGGUCGCCUGUCCAGACAGGUUCUGAUGCCAGGAAAAUGGACAUUACACCCACAGAUUGUAGAAAAAAUCUGGAUGAGGUUCAGCAGAGCAGAAGUGGACCUGUUUGCAUCAAGCGAAACGUCACACAGUCCCCUCUGGUUUUCUCUCUCACCCCCGGCACCACUGGGCAUCGAUGCGCUGCCACGUUUCCACCAAUCAACCUGCUGCACUCUGUUCUGCAGAGGGUUCGGGGGGGAUCGCUUUCGGCUUUUGUUAGUGGUGCCGUAUUGGCCAUCUCAAAUAUGCUUUUCGACUCUGGUCUCUCUCCUGGACGGAAUGCCUUGGGUGAUUCCAGUCAGAAUGGACAUGUCUCAGGUGCGGGGCAUCAUUUGUUAACACAAUUAUGGAGACUGUGGGUUUGUACCCUCACCAGGGCCCUCUUUUAAAUGAUGGUUUAUCCCCCACGGUGGUUGAUACCAUCUUAAAUGCUAGAGCUCCAUCAUCAUGAAGAGUAUAUAUACGUGUAAAUGGCGUAUUUUCACCUCUUCAUGCGCAGCACACAGUGAGGAUCCAGUCCACUGCCCAGUUGGUUCAAUGCUGUACUUUUUUGCAAUAGUGUUUAGACCUUUUCGUCUCGUCCGCAUCCCUUUAUGGGAUUUAUCUGUGGUGUUAGAGUCACUCUCGGCUGCUCCGUCCGAGCCUUUAGCAUCAGUAUCUGAUAAAUUUCUUACUCUUAAAACGGCCCUGUUAAUAGCACUGGCAUCGUUGAUGUUUUGCAUGCCCUGUCGAUCAAUCCCUUGUGUAUGCAACUUGUGCCAGGGUUAUCUAAGCCCUGCUGGUUUAUGUUGACCUUAAUAGCCAAUAUUGAAAGUUAGAGCAGUUGUUUGUAUGCUUUGGUGGCCGCAACAGGGGUGUCUCAUUGGAUUGUGGAUGCAAUCUUGAGUGCUUACGAGAUGCAUUGUUUGCCUUCACCUCUGGGUAUUCGAGCUCAUUCUACGAAGAGCAUGGCAUCCUCAUGGGCAAUGGCAAGAGGUGCGUCCUUGGAAGACAUUUGUAUGGCAGCAGGAUGGUCCUGUCCACAUACUUUUGUCAGAUUUUAUAACUUCGACGAGUGUUUGUCUCCAGCUUCCCAAGUUCUCUCUGUUGGAUCAGGAGUAAGUUUUUGAGAUUUCUAUUUCUUUAGCUCAUUUGUGUGAUGCUGUAAGCUUGCCAUAUGGGCUUAGAGAGUUGGCAGCUACUGUUUGCAUGGUGUGAUGGUAUCUCGUCCCAACUGCGUCAUUAUGCAAUGUCAGUGUUUCCUUGAAAGGGAACGUCUCAUUUAUGAAUGUAACCUUGGUUCCCUGAGAGGGAACGAGACGUUGCGUAGCUGGCCAUACUCUCUAAUUGCUGCACAGGCUUGUUGUGCCUGUUGCAGAAAAUCUGGCGAAAUGGCACAAAAGCAGCCACCUAUAUGGGUUCCGUGAUGCAGCUCCCUAUGGGCGUCACUUCAGUGCAAUCAGCCAAUAUAUUUUAUACAACUGUAUACAAUUGCAUGAUUGUAUACAGGCUUCAGACCACGUGACUCACUGACGUAGUGAUGUGCGUCAUUACGCAACGUCUCGUUUCCUCUUAGGGAAAUUUAAGACUUUAAGACCUUUUUCAAGACCUGAACAAAUAAAAUUAAUACUGUUAUUCUUACAUAAACAGGCAGGGGCACACAUUCAACAUGGACUUAACAUUGCUUAUCAGUAAAACAGAGUAGACUAUAUGCAAGUUUAAAAUACUCAAGACAUGUUUUCCACAUAUAUAUCACAUUAAAAUUGGUUUAUGUACCAUUAUAUAAAUAAAUACAAAUUAGAAGUCGACUGAUAUUGGAUUGUGCUGAUUCGAUAAUGUGUUGAAAGAAAGCCAGUAAGUUUGCCAAUAGUUUUUAAAAUUGGUAGCCUAUAUUAAAUGUUGUUCUUCCUGUGAUAGGGAGGGCCAGACAGAGGCUAAAAGAGUCCAUAUUGAAUUAAUAAAACAACAGUCACGUUUUUACUUUGAAGGAUGCAGAGCAUUUAUUUAAUUAAACUGUAUUAUUUUCAAGUUUGAUAAUCACAUUAGGUCAUAUCACGAUUUCUGUCUUUCCACCCCCAAAUUUAAGACCUCUUUAAAUAAAAAUUAAGACUGUUGUAUCAUUUAAGAUAUUUAAGACUUUUUAUGACCUCAAAUUUUGGAAAACUGAAUUUAAGACAUUUUAAGGAUCUGCUGGAACCCUGACGGUAUAUAACCAAAUUUCACAAAUACAUUAACAUUAAUGUGAAUUUUCCAAACAAAAAUAAAAAUAAAAAUAAUAAUAAUAAUAAUAAUUAUAUAUAUAUAUAUAUUAUAUAUAUCAGUUGAAGUCUUAAGUUUACAUACACCUUAGCCAAAUACAUUUAAACUCAGUUUUACACAAUUCCUAACAUUUAAUCGUAGAAAACUUUCCCUGUCUUAGGUCAGUUAGGAUCACUACUUUAUUUUAAGAAAUAAAAGUAGAGAGAAUGAUUUAUUUCAGCUUUUAUUUCUUUCAUCAUAUUCCCAGUGGGUCAGAAG